GUUCCGAUAACAAAAUAUUAAAAUUAGCUUAACAAAAAUUUCGAAACCUUCAUUCAGGUUACAUCUUUUUUCUCAUUAAACCUCUUUACGACACAGAAAUUGAGCAUGGUUAUAUAAAUUAGCAUUAAGAUAAUUUUAAGAUCGCUCCCCCCCUCUUUUUUUACGCAGAUAAUGUACCCUUAUGAUAGGUAGUCUAAUUCUUACUAUGUUUUUCUUCUACGGUUAUUUUAUUUAUCAAUUAACUAUUCCUUUAAAUUUCUUUUCAGGUUUAUAAAAGAUGAAUUUUCGAUGCAUAUUCGUUCUUUUGCUCCUAAUUUCAGCAAGCCAUCAUGUUGAAUCACAGAAUUUUGCACCGUUUUUAGGAGGACUAUUUUUAGGUGGUUUGUUCAACCGAUUUCAGUCAUUUCCGCCACCACCAAUAUACUCACCACCUUUCUACUACCCACAGUUUCAACCUGGAUUUGGUCGAUUUGGAUAAAUAAAUAAAUUUAGACUGUAUAUCGGUGCUGUAAGUAUCAGUCAUUAUUUACUUUUGCCAUUUUUUUCUCAGUGAUAUAUGUCUUUCGUAUAAUUUAGAAAUGUCCCAACGAUUUGCAUCUAAUUUUCUUAAAAUGAUGCUGAACAAGACCCAGAAUUUAGGAUUAUAUAUCUCAUGCAAAUGAAGAAGAUCCUUACAAUAUAUGUGCCGUAGACCCGACAUGUAUGGCAGAUAGAAAAUAAAUCAUUUUUUGUAAAGUUUACAUAGUUUCUCUCUCAGUUCGUACUGGUGUACCAAAACACCAAAAGAAACGAUUGCAUGAGGGAUUUUUAUUGUUUUAUAAUUACAUUUUUCUUUGUAUUAAAAAAAUCAUGUAUAGACAAUCGGUUGUUGAAUUUAUGGAAUAUGGGAGAACUCACUCCAUCAAUCUAUACCUCUUUGGUCGGUUUGUUGUCUCUUGUGCACAUUCCCCAUUUCCAUUUUCAACUUAACUGUUCAUUAUAAAUAAAGAAAAAAAUGUAGUGGUUGAAAUAAAAUCCUGCUUUCUUUCGUAUAAAGAAACAAAAGUGUGCCAUAUUAGCGAUAUCUAGUAUUGUUUAGCAUACAAAAGAUAGUAACAUAUAUAUUAACAUCUGCUUCU
This 1118-nucleotide long non-coding RNA is filed under the name Mytilus galloprovincialis (Mediterranean mussel). Lineage: Eukaryota; Metazoa; Mollusca; Bivalvia; Mytilida; Mytilidae. The record is from RNAcentral.